CCUCGUGAAUUCAUCUCCGGGGGUAGAGCACUGUUUCGGCAAGGGGGUCAUCCCGACUUACCAACCCGAUGCAAACUGCGAAUACCGGAGAAUGUUAUCACGGGAGACACACGGCGGGUGCUAACGUCCGUCGUGAAGAGGGAAACAACCCAGACCGCCAGCUAAGGUCCCAAAGUCAUGGUUAAGUGGGAAACGAUGUGGGAAGGCCCAGACAGCCAGGAUGUUGGCUUAGAAGCAGCCAUCAUUUAAAGAAAGCGUAAUAGCUCACUGGUCGAGUCGGCCUGCGCGGAAGAUGUAACGGGGCUAAACCAUGCACCGAAGCUGCGGCAGCGACACUAUGUGUUGUUGGGUAGGGGAGCGUUCUGUAAGCCUGUGAAGGUGUGCUGUGAGGCAUGCUGGAGGUAUCAGAAGUGCGAAUGCUGACAUAAGUAACGAUAAAGCGGGUGAAAAGCCCGCUCGCCGGAAGACCAAGGGUUCCUGUCCAACGUUAAUCGGGGCAGGGUGAGUCGACCCCUAAGGCGAGGCCGAAAGGCGUAGUCGAUGGGAAACAGGUUAAUAUUCCUGUACUUGGUGUUACUGCGAAGGGGGGACGGAGAAGGCUAUGUUGGCCGGGCGACGGUUGUCCCGGUUUAAGCGUGUAGGCUGGUUUUCCAGGCAAAUCCGGAAAAUCAAGGCUGAGGCGUGAUGACGAGGCACUACGGUGCUGAAGCAACAAAUGCCCUGCUUCCAGGAAAAGCCUCUAAGCAUCAGGUAACAUCAAAUCGUACCCCAAACCGACACAGGUGGUCAGGUAGAGAAUACCAAGGCGCUUGAGAGAACUCGGGUGAAGGAACUAGGCAAAAUGGUGCCGUAACUUCGGGAGAAGGCACGCUGAUAUGUAGGUGAAGCGACUUGCUCGUGGAGCUGAAAUCAGUCGAAGAUACCAGCUGGCUGCAACUGUUUAUUAAAAACACAGCACUGUGCAAACACGAAAGUGGACGUAUACGGUGUGACGCCUGCCCGGUGC
RNAcentral lists this ribosomal RNA (1006 nucleotides) under Escherichia coli. RNAcentral's name for it is "partial 23S ribosomal RNA". It matches the Rfam family "Bacterial large subunit ribosomal RNA", at positions 880 to 1869 of the family's 2925-position model. The record is from RNAcentral. Lineage: Bacteria; Pseudomonadati; Pseudomonadota; Gammaproteobacteria; Enterobacterales; Enterobacteriaceae.